Molecule: non-coding RNA, 105 nt
Organism: Canis lupus familiaris (dog)
Lineage: Eukaryota; Metazoa; Chordata; Mammalia; Carnivora; Canidae
Source: Rfam
AGGAGGAACAACCCCGGUGGCGGGGCCAGCUCUGGAGCCCUGGAUUCAGCUCCGGCAGGAACUCCGGAGCUCUCCGUCUGCAGGGCCUGGAAGCUCCGGGCGGGG